UACGUUAAAGCUUUCCCAGGUGCCGAAAGGCUUAAUAGGAAAUCCCGUGAAAAUCGGGAGCGGUCCCGCCGCUGUGACCGGGGACGAGUUUCGCCGAAACCACUGUUUUGCGAUCAGCAAAGCGGGAAGGGGCGAAAGGUAGAUUGAUCCGGAAGUCAGAAGACCUGCCUGCCAUAUAUCGUCGGUU
Molecule: non-coding RNA, 187 nt
Filed under: Desulfosarcina cetonica
Lineage: Bacteria; Pseudomonadati; Thermodesulfobacteriota; Desulfobacteria; Desulfobacterales; Desulfosarcinaceae
Source: RNAcentral